Nicotiana tabacum (common tobacco) is the source of this 1562-nucleotide non-coding RNA. NCBI's taxonomy places the organism in Eukaryota, Viridiplantae, Streptophyta, Magnoliopsida, Solanales, Solanaceae. The record is from RefSeq and is a predicted model, not a curated record.
UCAUAAUAGGAAGCCUUGUUAAUUAAAUUCUGUGGUCCCUACUGUGCCUAAAUAAUAGAAAAUAGUGAAAACUGUUACUUAGUGGGAAAGAAAACGUGGAAACCGUCCCUUAGUGGGAGAAGGAAACCUAACAGGUUUUGAAAACGAUUUUGACCUAAAACGCAGCUAUAUAUAUGGAUAUAAGGGCUGGACGAUUUUGACAAGAUUCUGACCGCGGUUUCUACUAGAAUUUUGCCCACCCAAAAUUCUCAAUUUUCGGUUAUUGUUUGGGUAACACAGUAGAAGACUGUGGAAAUCUGCUGGUGUGUUUUCAACUGAGGAACUGGAGAACGAUAUAGAUUUGUUGUGUUUACGCUUCAAGAGGUUUCGAGAAUGUUGCUGAAAUUGUUCUUCUCCUUCACUUUUUUAUCUUCAUCAUCAAAGUAUUCUGCGUACCAGGUAAUUCGGAAGCAAGAAAGGUUCAUGGGCCUACUUUACUAAAAGAUAUUUGGAAACUUCCGCCGGAAAGACAAUUGAUGUACCGUUCAAUAAUCGUAACCAAACUAUUGGGAAAGAGGGUCGAAAUCUUGCUAGCUUUCUAGGAAUUAUUGCAAGAACUCCAAAACUAACACCUCUACAUGUAGAUGAUUGGAGAAAUUUUGACAAGGAGGAAAAGAAGAAAUUGGUGGAUUUUGUGAGGAAGAAAUUCUCUAUUCCAAAACGUGGAGAAGCAUGGAUCUUAAAGUCACUAGGAAAGAAAUGGAAAGACUACAAGUGUGAUUUAAAGGCUGAGUAUGCGCAAAAAUAUAAGACUAAAUAUGCUUUGCUAAAAAAUAGACCACGUCGCAUACUGAGGAUCAAUGGAGUGGUCUUGUCUCUUAUUGGCUUUCUGAUAAAGCUAAGGAAAUGAUAAAUGAAAGGAUGAGCAAUAGUGAGAGAUCUACUAAGCAACCUCCUCGUAGUGUUGCUUGGGAAGGUAAUGUGUAUUCUCAGGUGUUGGGAAAUGAAAAAAUGGGUAUGUUCGUGAUUUAGGACUUGGUCCAACUCCUUCUGUUCUAUGGGGUAGUAGGUCUUCAUUAGGAAAUAUUAUUGCAGAUGAUUCUUCUAAUGAGGUUAUACAAAAGUUAGAACAGAAGAUGAUCGAGUUAAAGGAGAUACAAAAUGAAGAAAUGAGUAUGAUGAAACAAAAUCAGGAGAUGAUGUAAUCAAAAUUACUCCAAAUGAGACAACUCAUGCGCAAAUAUGCUCCUGAUGCAUCUAUGCCUCAAAGUAGCAAUGGCACCUCAGGUGAACAGAUCCAUGAUGCCAAUAGUGGACAUGAACGAGUACCACAAACAUCAAGAAUGCCUAGUGUUGAUGAAAAUGCUCAACCUUCUCAUGGUCAUACCGUCUGAUGUCGGAUAAUUUAGCGGGUGAAAGAUUUCAAAAUGAAGAAAAGUUGCGGAAAUUAUUUGAAGACUAUCAUUCAUCUGGAUUAGUUAUAUAAUGACAUUAGCUAUUUAGUCUAAACAAUGUAUUUUUAUGUUUUAAAUUACUGUGAUAUUAAUAUUUUUGAUUAGUACUUUCUUUUGUUUGUUAAGAUU